This 549-nucleotide ribosomal RNA is filed under the name uncultured Glomeromycotina. Its description in RNAcentral is "SSU rRNA". It matches the Rfam family "Eukaryotic small subunit ribosomal RNA", at positions 548 to 1098 of the family's 1831-position model. Lineage: Eukaryota; Fungi; Glomeromycota. The record is from RNAcentral.
UUGGAGGGCAAGUCUGGUGCCAGCAGCCGCGGUAAUUCCAGCUCCAAUAGCGUAUAUUAAAGUUGUUGCAGUUAAAAAGCUCGUAGUUGAAUUUCGGGGUCAGUAGGUUGGUCGUGCCAAUGGUAUGUACUGGCUUUACUGAUUCCUCCUUCUUGAAGAACUGUAAUGUCAUUAAUUUGGUGUUGCAGGGAAACAGGACUGUUACUUUGAAAAAAUUAGAGUGUUUAAAGCAGGCUAACGCUUGAAUACAUUAGCAUGGAAUAAUGAAAUAGGACGUUCGAUCCUAUUUUGUUGGUUUCUAGGAUUGACGUAAUGAUUAAUAGGGAUAGUUGGGGGCAUUAGUAUUCAAUUGUCAGAGGUGAAAUUCUUGGAUUUAUUGAAGACUAACUACUGCGAAAGCAUUUGCCAAGGAUGUUUUCAUUAAUCAAGAACGAAAGUUAGGGGAUCGAAGACGAUCAGAUACCGUCGUAGUCUUAACCAUAAACUAUGCCGACUAGGGAUCGGAUGAUGUUAAUUUUUUAAUGACUCAUUCGGCGCCUUACGGGAAAC